UGUAAAAAUGUGGUUUUUCGUUAAAGUGAACAGUACCGGGAGUUUUCGUUAAAGUUCCCUAAUUUUAUUUACUGAAAAAUAAUUAAAUUUUAAUGAAAAAUUCUUGAAUUUUAAUAAAAAGACUUAAUUUUUAAUGAAAAAGACACAAUUAAAAAAAAAAAACCUGACACAUGCGCGGGGGACUUAUACACUAUUUAUGAAACUGAACAUUGUUUAUAAAACUAAACACUAUUUAUAAAACUGAACGGUAUUAUACUAUUUAUUGAUCUAAUUUCAUAAAUAGUGUCUAGUUUUUUGUCCACUUUCAUAAAUAGUGUCUAAUUCUUGAUCAUGUUUCAUAAAUAAUGCCUAGUUAUUAGGUCCAGUUUCAUAAACAAUGUAUUGUAGUUGUUACAGUUUCAUUAAUAAUGUCUCUUUCUUGGUUCAGUUUUAUAAAUAGUGUCUACUUAUUGGUCCACUUUCAUAAAUAGUGCCUAGUUCUUAGUCAUAUUUUAUAAAUAUUGUCUAAUUCUUACUCUAGAUUUAUAAAUAGUGUAUAGUCCAGUUUUAUAAAUAGUUUCUACCAAUUGGUUUAGUUUUUGAAAUAAUGCCUAAUUCUUGUUUUUAUUUCAUAAAUAGUGUAUACUUAUUGGUUCAAUUUCAUAAAUAGUGUCUACUUAUUGAUUUAGUUUCAUGAAUAGUGUCUACUUAUUGGUGAAGUUUUAUAAAUAGUGUUUAAUUCUUGGUUUAGUUUCAUAAGAUUUGAAACUUAGACCCUUUUUGGUCCUGUAAAAGCACCCAUUAUGCCAAAAACGAUGAACCCAGAAGUGACUCUUUAGAUCAAAACCUUGAGAAGAUUAUGUUCUCAAUAAUUAUAUUUAAAAAGCUGUUUUCAAUUACCAAAUUAAAAUUUUCUCACUUUUUUCAUAUACCUACAAUAAUAAAUGUAGCUCUCCAUUCAAUUUCUUGAGCUUGGAUGUCAUCUUCGAGAAUUUUUUCCUUGUAGUCGUAACACAAAUGGUAUACCACGUGUUAUUAUAUAAGUGGUGGAAAAUUUUAUUUUUUAUGUUAUUAAUUUUUUAAUAUAAGAAUCUCACAACUUAUAUAGAGUGUACCACCCCGUAUUCUGGGCACAUUGAAAAGUUUCUUGUCAUCAUGACUACUAUUGGAAAACAACACCACUAUUGGAAAACAACACCACACAAAUAAAACAGGAGAAUGUAAUUCAAUUCAAAGUAUUUUCUUAUAAUGUAGCUCACGAUGGGACAAAAAGGUAGGAGAA
This 1261-nucleotide long non-coding RNA is filed under the name Malus domestica (apple). Its description in RNAcentral is "long non-coding RNA (MDOM_LNC017808)". The record is from RNAcentral. Lineage: Eukaryota; Viridiplantae; Streptophyta; Magnoliopsida; Rosales; Rosaceae.